Molecule: ribosomal RNA, 261 nt
Filed under: uncultured bacterium
Lineage: Bacteria
Description: partial small subunit ribosomal RNA
Rfam family: Bacterial small subunit ribosomal RNA
Source: RNAcentral
AGAAUCAACGCUGGCGGCGUGCCUAACACAUGCAAGUCGAACGAGAAAGUGGAGCAAUCCAUGAGUAAAGUGGCGACCGGGUGAGUAACACGUGACCAAUCUACCUUCGAGUGGGGGAUAACUCCGGGAAACCGGGGCUAAUACCGCAUAACAUCUUUGGAAUGCAAAUUCCGUUGAUCAAAGGAGCAAUUCGCUUGAAGAGGAGGUCGCGGCUGAUUAGUUAGUUGGCGGGGUAAUGGCCCACCAAGACGAAGAUCGGUA